Molecule: ribosomal RNA, 440 nt
Filed under: uncultured bacterium
Lineage: Bacteria
Description: partial 16S ribosomal RNA
Rfam family: Bacterial small subunit ribosomal RNA
Source: RNAcentral
CCUACGGGAGGCAGCAGUGGGGAAUAUUGCACAAUGGGGGAAACCCUGAUGCAGCGACGCCGCGUGAGUGAAGAAGUAUCUCGGUAUGUAAAGCUCUAUCAGCAGGGAAGAAAAUGACGGUACCUGUUUAUGAAGCUCCGGCCAAAUACGUGCCAGCAGCCGCGGGAAUACGUAGGGGGCAAGCGUUAUCCGGAUUUACUGGGGGUAAAGGGAGCGUAGACGGCAGCACAAGGCUGGAGUGAAAUGCCGGGGCUUAACCCCGGAACUGCUUUGGAAACUGUGCAGCUAGAGUGCAGGAGAGGUAAGUGGAAUUCCUAGUGUAGCGGUGAAAUGCGUAGAUAUUAGGAGGAACACCAGUGGCGAAGGCGGCUUACUGGACUGUAACUGACGUUGAGGCUCGAAAGCGUGGGGAGCAAACAGGAUUAGAUACCCCGGUAGUC